Molecule: ribosomal RNA, 360 nt
Filed under: uncultured eukaryote
Lineage: Eukaryota
Description: partial 18S ribosomal RNA
Rfam family: Eukaryotic small subunit ribosomal RNA
Source: RNAcentral
CAAUAGCAUAUAUUAACGUUGUUGCAGUUGAAAAGCUCGUAGUUGAACUUUUGGUAGGAGCGACCUGGCCUUGGGCGCAUGCCCUUGUUUGCCGUGUGUCGUAUCUGGCCAUCCUUUUCCGUUUCGGCGGGAAUCCUUUACUGUGAGUAAACUGGAGUGCUCAAAACAAGACGUUUGUUUGGUACAUUAAAGCAUGGAAUAAUAAGAUAGGACCUGGUUACUAUUUUGUUGGUUUGCAUAGCUAGGUAAUGAUUAACAGGGACAGUUGGGGGUAUUCGUAUUUAAUUGUCAGAGGUGAAAUUCUUGGAUUUAUGAAAGACGAACUUCUGCGAAAGCAUUUGCCAAGGAUGUUUUCAUUAA